AAUAUAGCGAUGACGAGGACUGUUUUGCAAGGUAAAAGGAGAAACAGAGAGUUUUUGGUCGGUGAAAAAAAACAACUCUUUCUUGUAAAUGUAUCCCCUCGGAGCUAAGAAGCUGAACAGAAUCGGUAAGCUUUUUCGGUUGACCUCGUUAUCGGUUGUAAAGUGGCAGUUAUUCGAAACUUUUUGUAUCAAGUUUUGUCGAAGAGAUAGCUGCAAUAAGGGUGGUACCACGGAAUAUUCGUCCCUGCA
RNAcentral lists this non-coding RNA (249 nucleotides) under Filifactor alocis. Its description in RNAcentral is "T-box sequence". It matches the Rfam family "T-box leader". From Rfam's summary of the family: Uncharged tRNA acts as the effector for transcription antitermination of genes in the T-box leader family. The record is from RNAcentral. Lineage: Bacteria; Bacillati; Bacillota; Clostridia; Peptostreptococcales; Filifactoraceae.